CAAAUACUUCCUCCGUCUUAAAAUUUUUGUCUUAGCUUUACCUAAAAAUAAAUGUAUCUAAAUACUAAAAUUUAACUAGAUACAUUCAUAUUUAAACAAAUCUAAGACAAGAAUUUUAGGACGAACGGAGUACUAC
This is a non-coding RNA of Hordeum vulgare subsp. vulgare (domesticated barley), 136 nucleotides long. NCBI's taxonomy places the organism in Eukaryota, Viridiplantae, Streptophyta, Magnoliopsida, Poales, Poaceae. The record is from Rfam.